Molecule: small nuclear RNA, 105 nt
Organism: Nycticebus coucang (slow loris)
Lineage: Eukaryota; Metazoa; Chordata; Mammalia; Primates; Lorisidae
Source: RefSeq, a predicted model, not a curated record
GUGUUUGCUUCGUCAGCACCUAUACUAAAAUUGGAAUAAUAGAGAUGAAUAGCAUGGCACCUGUGCAAGGAUGACAUGCAAAUUUGUGAAAUGUUUCAUAUUGUU